RNAcentral lists this ribosomal RNA (321 nucleotides) under Triticum aestivum (bread wheat). RNAcentral's name for it is "partial small subunit ribosomal RNA". The record is from RNAcentral. Lineage: Eukaryota; Viridiplantae; Streptophyta; Magnoliopsida; Poales; Poaceae.
AUGGAGAAACAAAACAUGCUCAAAGGAAUCUUUUUCAGAAAUCAAGGAGCCCCUCAAUUAUCCCCGUCGUCGUCCCCGUCACCGACCCCCUCCGACCUCGAGAUGAGACCUGCUGAAUCUCCAUGUAUAUCUUGUGUUGCUCAAAUAGGAUAUGUGGUUGCCCAAGUGGCCGGUCAUGUUCAGAUUACACCUUCGAGUGGCCUAUGUUUUGCCGGAGUGUUGAUUAAUUUCCGUUUCGGCAAAUUUCAGGCGCUCGAUAUGUCCUUUUAUAGUAAAGGUCAUGCUGGAUUUUUUCGUGAAUUCUGGCAUGACUUGUGCUAG